UGAUGCACUGCUAUUUGAUUAAUAUGCAUUGUUGCAUAUGAAAAAUGAGCUGCCUAUAUUCUGUCAAGCCAAUUCAAAGAAUCCUCUAUAAUCCAUGCCCAUUCUUCAGCUGCAAUUACAAAUAGUACUAAAUAUUUUGAUCUCAGAUUCUUGAAAAUUAAAACUUCAACCUUUCAAAACAAAUAAGAAGAAAAAAGGAACAAGCAAAGGAUUAAAGUUAGCAAGGUGAACGUUCAUCAACACCCUUGYCUUUAUAGCGCUGCUCGAAACAAUUAUUCAUGGAAGCUAUUUGCAAAGGAACUCACCCAAGGACAACUAGCAUUCCAUASGUCGUUUCAGAGUCAUUUUCAUCUGUGGUUGCCGUGAUUUGUGUAAUGUGAGUUGCCUUCAUGUCUGAUUCUUGACAUAAUUUCUUGGGAUCCGGAGCAGCAAUACACAAGACAGUUGUGUUUGCAGUGGAUUUCCCCUCAGUUCUGUACAAUUAUAACAAAAUAAACAGACCAGGAAUUCAUUAUUGUACCAAACGGAACUUAUAUGUCACAUGAAAAUUUUCAGCAAUUACAUUUACAAUGAUGAAACUAAAAGUUCAACUUCCUUAAUUUAGAACCAAUCCCAUUUGUAGCUGAAUGCAUUUGUUAGAUUUAAGUAUAAUGCAAAGACUAAGUAACAUAGUUUUAAUGCCUCUCAAGACCACAGUUUAAUUUUAUAUGGAUUUUUUGCUAAGAAAAAUGGCUGUUGUCAUGUACAUAGGCAUAUGUUAUUAAAAAMAUUUAGGCAGUA
Long non-coding RNA from Exaiptasia diaphana, 780 nucleotides. RefSeq lists it as uncharacterized. Lineage: Eukaryota; Metazoa; Cnidaria; Anthozoa; Actiniaria; Aiptasiidae. The transcript is spliced from 2 exons. The record is from RefSeq and is a predicted model, not a curated record.